UUGGGUUAAGUCCGCAACGAGCGCAACCCCUACGUUUAGUUGCUAACAGGUGAAGCUGAGCACUCUAGACGAACUGCCGUUGACAAAACGGAGGAAGGUGGGGAUGACGUCAAAUCAUCAUGCCCCUUAUGUUCUGGGCUACACACGUGCUACAAUGGCCGGUACAGACGGAGGCGAAGCCGCGAGGCGGAGCAAAUCCGAAAAAGCCGGUCUCAGUUCGGAUUGCAGGCUGCAAUUCGCCUGCAUGAAGUCGGAAUCGCUAGUAAUCGCAGGUCAGCAUACUGCGGUGAAUACGUUCCCGGGCCUU
This 307-nucleotide ribosomal RNA is filed under the name uncultured Pelotomaculum sp. Its description in RNAcentral is "bacterial SSU rRNA". It matches the Rfam family "Bacterial small subunit ribosomal RNA", at positions 1075 to 1382 of the family's 1533-position model. Lineage: Bacteria; Bacillati; Bacillota; Clostridia; Eubacteriales; Desulfotomaculaceae. The record is from RNAcentral.